Molecule: transfer RNA, 72 nt
Filed under: Chitinophaga agri
Lineage: Bacteria; Pseudomonadati; Bacteroidota; Chitinophagia; Chitinophagales; Chitinophagaceae
Rfam family: tRNA
About the family: Transfer RNA (tRNA) molecules are approximately 80 nucleotides in length. Their secondary structure includes four short double-helical elements and three loops (D, anti-codon, and T loops).
Source: Rfam by way of RNAcentral
AGAGAUGGGGUCGAUCUGGACAGACGCCUCCCUGUCACGGAGGAAGAGCAGGUUCGAGUCCUGCCUUCUCUC